UUCCACAACAAAGAAAUUUUGGAUCAGAAGGUAGUUUCUUCAUACUGCUGAUAUAAAUAAUGGUUUAAUUAUCUUUUUGAGUGAUGUAAGGGAGAUAAUAUGCUACUUCCGGUCUCAUAUGAUAGCUUCUUUCACACUGAUUCCAAAAAUAUAUAGUUUCUAUGUACUUUUGCAUGUAGAAUGGGAGAUAAUUGGUUACUUCCGGUUUGUUGGAAGUCAUUUUUAUUCUUCAGUAAUCAGUUUAUGUAUCUAUAUGACAAAAUAUAUGGAUUCUGAGUACUUGUAUGUGAAAAAACUGCAAAAAAAGCUACUUCCGGUUUUCUCAAGGUCACUUCCGGUAACCAUUUUUCAAGGUCAUUUGUCACUUAACCUUUUGUAUAAGGUCAAAUGUCUUUGUAAUGAACUUAGUUGAAGAUAUAAUCAAAUAACCUCAUAUCAAGACAUUUCAGGGGCAACAACUCCUAUAAGAUGCCAUUAAAUUGUAUCAAACUUAAUGUAUCAUAUCUUCAUAACAAUAAAGCAGACAUUUUGCAAUUGUUUUUCUUUAUGUAUCUUUCAAAGCGUCAGAGAAAAUGCAAAAACAAGCAGAAGUCACAAAUUAGAACUUGACCUUGACCUUUGACCUUGACCUCAUUUUCUAAGUUAGGACAUAGGGGACUCAAAUAAAAACAUUCCAGGGUUAUACGGUUAACUGUUAUUGAGUUAAAAAAACAUAACGACAAAUUUAUUUUGUAAAGGUAGAUAACUCCUAUAAAAUUUCAUCGAAUCGCUUCGACCCAAAUGAGCCAAAAAUUACUGAGGAUGUAACGAACAAUUUGUAAAAAGAAUUUUGUCGCUAUCUUUUUUUGUUACGAAGGAGAUGCACACAGAUGAUAAACAGUGAAUAGGGAGAUAACUCUUACAAAGAAAAUGGUUCGGCUUAGCAGGGUGAAAUUUAAAAGCGCAUAAACUAUACGAUAUCAUAUGAGAAAUAUCUAAGCGACAUAUUGCGAAACAAACAUUUAUCGCAAGAACAAAAUUUGGCGGAAAAAAAAAAAUAAUAAUAAAUAUAAAUCAAUUGCUUUGAAAAAGCAAUUGUAGGUGGUCUUUCCCCCUUUAAAUUAAUUGAAUUUGGGGGGUGUUGUUUGUUUGUUUGUUUGUUUGUUUGUUUGUUUGUUUGUUUGUUUGUUUCUGUAUGGGGUCUAUAUUAUUGUUACCGGAGAAGUUUCAUGUUUAGUUUGGAAAGUUUUUUUUUUAUUUUAGGUACAGCGCGCGCGCCAGAUUGAGGAGACAUC
This 1274-nucleotide long non-coding RNA is filed under the name Mytilus galloprovincialis (Mediterranean mussel). Lineage: Eukaryota; Metazoa; Mollusca; Bivalvia; Mytilida; Mytilidae. The record is from RNAcentral.